ACAGCCCCAUCAACACCCGCAGAUCGGUCCUGGUGAGACCCCGGCCCCAGCAACACCCCCAGACCGGUCCCAGUGAGACCCGGGUCCCAGCAACACCCCCAGACCGGUCCCAGCCCCAGCAACAUCCUCAGACUGGUCCCAGCGUGACCCUGGUCCCACAACACCCCCAGACCAGUCCAGGUGGGACCCCGGCCCCAGCGACACCCUCAGACUGGUCCCAGUGUGACCCCGGUCCCAGCAACACCCCCAGAUUGGUACCGGUCUCAGCAACAUCCCCAGACCUCUCCCGGUGAGACCCCGGACCAGGUCCCAGCAACAUCUCUAGUCCGGUCCCAGCGAGACCCUGGUCCCAGCAACACCCUCAGACUGAUCCCGGCCCCAGCAACAUCCCCAGACUGGUCCCAGUGUGACCUUGGUCCCAGCCACACCCCCAGACCGGUCCCAGCGAGACCCCGGUCCCAGCAACACCCCCAGACCAACCCCAGUCCUAGCAACACCCCCAGACUGGUCCCAGUGAGACCCCAGACUGGUCCCCGCAACACCCCCAGACUGGUCCCGGCGAGACCCUGCUCCCAACAACACCCCUAGGCCGGUCCCAGUGAGACCCCGGCCCCAGCAACAUCCCCAGGCCGGUCCCAGCCCCUGCAACACCUCCAGGCUUGUCCCAGUGAAACCCCGGUCCCAGCAACACCCCUAGACCGGUCCCAGUGAGACUCUGAUCCCAGCAACACCCCCAGACCG
This is a long non-coding RNA of Gopherus flavomarginatus (Mexican gopher tortoise), 741 nucleotides long. RefSeq lists it as uncharacterized. The record is from RefSeq and is a predicted model, not a curated record. NCBI's taxonomy places the organism in Eukaryota, Metazoa, Chordata, Testudines, Testudinidae. The transcript is spliced from 3 exons.